Molecule: long non-coding RNA, 1078 nt
Filed under: Ananas comosus (pineapple)
Lineage: Eukaryota; Viridiplantae; Streptophyta; Magnoliopsida; Poales; Bromeliaceae
Description: long non-coding RNA (ACOM_LNC024060)
Source: RNAcentral
CUAUUCACAAAGAUUAAGGAGAUUUCGGGAUAUAAAAGCGAGAUUUAUGAGGCUGUUUUCGAAUAUCUUUGUCAAAGUGAGAUGCAAGCAAGAGUGUUUAUGACGAAGGAUCUUGAUAUGCGGCGUAGUUGGUUUGAACGCUACGUAACUACACAUUUUAGUGAUCUUGGUGGAUUUCUUUGAUAUGUCAUGCCAUCGUUAACUCAAAUUUUGUUAUCAUAUUAGUAUGGUUAUGUAUUAAACAUAUAUCUAUUAUCUUUUAGACUCAACCUUUCAACUAUGAUAGUGCUUAUGAUGUUAUCUGGUAUGGAUGUAACCAUACAUUUUAGAUGUGAUAUUAUUAUUUUUUGUGUGAUAAUGAUAUGCACAAUAUAUUUUGUUAUUUUGGGUGUGAUAUUUUGUGCAAUGCUAGUUUCAUUUCAUUCAAAUAUAUUCAAUUGUGGAAGUAAUUAAAUUUUUUAUUUUGAUUGUAUGUCUAAAAUAUGAUCAAAUUUGGUUAGGUAAGUUUUAAUAUAUUUUUUGUUUAAUUUGUAUAUUUAGAAAAUGAUGAAAAAUGAAUUUGUUCAAUGUUAAUAAUUUUUUAACUUUAGAAUUUUAUUUGUUGCAUUAUUAUAAUUUAUAUGCAAACAAAUAAUAUAAUUUUUUAAAAUUUUAUUUUAUAAUUAUACAUAUAUAUAAUUAUAUACAUAUAUAAUUAUAUUAAUUUUUAUUUAUUAUAAUUUAUUAUUAACUAUAAGUUACAAAAUAGACAAUAAUUUCACUUCGGAGGUAACUAUACCAGGGGUAGAGAUAUACACUUUUUACGUCAUCUACUUCCUACCAAACAAACAACAAAACUCACAAAACUGCACUUCCACAUUUAGAAACAAACAGCAGAAAUGAACUAAUUUUCACCCCAACUCCACUUCAACUCCAAGUCCACUUCCACCCCAAGUCUGCUUACGUCGAAACAAACAUGCCCUAAACAUCCUAUAUGCAUAAGUAACCAUAUAUUUGCACAUGAUCAACAAAGUACUAAGACAUAGGAAGAAGUUUAGUUGCUUCGGGAUGACACCCCCCCACCUUUUGGUGAUGCCGC